UACUAGCGGUCCAAGUCGCAGCCACAUUUAUUGGGUCUAAAACAUCCGUAGCUCGCUUGAUAAGUUUCCUGUGAAAUUUCAUUUCUUAAAGAUGAAGCGUGCAGGAAGUACUGUCGAGCUAGAGACUGGAAGACGUAGGAAGUACGAUCAAAGUAGCGGUAAAAUGUGUUGAUCUUGACCGGACUCACAAUAGCGAAGGCAUCCUACGAGGACAGUUCUGACAGUAAGGGAUGAAGGCUAGGGGCGCAAAACGGAUUAGAUACCCCCGUA
Molecule: ribosomal RNA, 270 nt
Filed under: uncultured prokaryote
Description: partial 16S ribosomal RNA
Rfam family: Archaeal small subunit ribosomal RNA
Source: RNAcentral